AACCAACAAUAACCUUUUUAUUUUUCAUUUUACUCCUUAGUUGAGUAAUUACUCCUUUUUCCGCUAGGCCUAACCAACCUAGUGGUUUUUUUA
Molecule: non-coding RNA, 93 nt
Organism: Enterococcus columbae
Lineage: Bacteria; Bacillati; Bacillota; Bacilli; Lactobacillales; Enterococcaceae
Rfam family: Enterococcus sRNA 84
About the family: Name 'Ref' stands for RNA in E. faecalis.
Source: Rfam